Molecule: transfer RNA, 75 nt
Filed under: Candidatus Saccharimonadota bacterium
Lineage: Bacteria; Candidatus Saccharimonadota
Description: tRNA-OTHER
Rfam family: tRNA
About the family: Transfer RNA (tRNA) molecules are approximately 80 nucleotides in length. Their secondary structure includes four short double-helical elements and three loops (D, anti-codon, and T loops). Further hydrogen bonds mediate the characteristic L-shaped molecular structure. tRNAs have two regions of fundamental functional importance: the anti-codon, which is responsible for specific mRNA codon recognition, and the 3' end, to which the tRNAs corresponding amino acid is attached (by aminoacyl-tRNA synthetases). tRNAs cope with the degeneracy of the genetic code in two manners: having more than one tRNA (with a specific anti-codon) for a particular amino acid; and 'wobble' base-pairing, i.e. permitting non-standard base-pairing at the 3rd anti-codon position.
Source: RNAcentral
CGGGGUGUAGUUUAACUGCGCAAAAUACUUUGCCCACCGGCGAGGAGAUUGUGGGUUCAAAUCCCGCCACCCCGA